This 76-nucleotide transfer RNA is filed under the name Casaltella massiliensis. Its description in RNAcentral is "tRNA-Ala". It matches the Rfam family "tRNA". From Rfam's summary of the family: Transfer RNA (tRNA) molecules are approximately 80 nucleotides in length. Their secondary structure includes four short double-helical elements and three loops (D, anti-codon, and T loops). Lineage: Bacteria; Bacillati; Bacillota; Clostridia; Peptostreptococcales; Anaerovoracaceae. The record is from RNAcentral. RNAcentral also lists the same sequence under 7 other names.
GGGGCAUUAGCGCAGCUGGGAGCGCGUUUGACUGGCAGUCAAGAGGUCAGGGGUUCGAUCCCCCUAUGCUCCACCA